This 263-nucleotide unclassified non-coding RNA is filed under the name plant metagenome. RNAcentral's name for it is "partial contains small subunit ribosomal RNA, internal transcribed spacer 1, and 5.8S ribosomal RNA". The record is from RNAcentral.
UUUCCGUAGGUGAACCUGCGGAAGGAUCAUUAUUGUAUAACCGAGGUGCGAGGGCUGUCGCUGACCCGAAAGGUCGUGCACGCCCGAGUGCUCUCACACACAUCCAUCUCACCCCUAUGUGCACCAGCGCGUGGGUCCCCCCUUGGCUUGUUCGGAGGGGGGCUUUCGUUUUCACACAAACUUUGUAUGCAGUGUAGAAUUUAUUUUUUGUUUUUGCGAUCACGCAAUAAAUACAACUUUCAACAACGGAUCUCUUGGCUCUC